Molecule: ribosomal RNA, 408 nt
Filed under: uncultured microorganism
Description: bacterial SSU rRNA
Rfam family: Archaeal small subunit ribosomal RNA
Source: RNAcentral
GUGCAGCAGUCGCGAAACUUUACAAUGUGCGAAAGCACGAUAAGGGAACUCCGAGUGCCUCCUAAGGAGGCUGUUCAGGUGUCUAAAAGCACCUGAAGGAAGGGCUGGGUAAGACCGGUGCCAGCCGCCGCGGUAACACCGGCAGCCCAAGUGGUAGCCACGUUUAUUGGGUCUAAAGCGUCCGUAGCCGGCUGGGUAAGUUCCUUGGGAAAUUUGGCUGCUCAACAGUCAAGCUUUCAGGGAAUACUGCCCGGCUUGGGACCGGGAGAGGUCAGAGGUACUCCAGGGGUAGGGGUGAAAUCCAUUAAUCCUUGGGGGACCACCGGUAGCGAAGGCGUCUGACCAGACCGGGUCCGACGGUGAGGGACGAAGGCUAGGGGCGCGAACCGGAUUAGAUACCCGUGUAGU